This 5639-nucleotide long non-coding RNA is filed under the name Nicotiana tabacum (common tobacco). Its description in RNAcentral is "long non-coding RNA (NTAB_LNC009946)". The stretch from base 9 to 111 matches the Rfam family "MIR6024 microRNA precursor family". The record is from RNAcentral. Lineage: Eukaryota; Viridiplantae; Streptophyta; Magnoliopsida; Solanales; Solanaceae.
AAGUCAUUGGGCGGAAGUGGAGAAACAACACUUGCUAAAAGAAAUUCCUUUUAGCAACUCAAUAUUAGGCUUUGGAGUUUUUUUAGCCAGAGUUGUUUUCCCUCUUCUCAACUCUGUAGAUCUGCAGAACUUUAUUUCUCUAUUUAUGCCUUUUUCACUUUUUUUGUUGAGUAAAAGUUAUUUUUUCGGGAUCUGUUCAGAUAUUUUCCUUAUUCCGUUUGGGGAUCACUGAGAAGUUCAUUUCAUCUAAUAUAGGUUGAUUCCUACGGCGAAAUUGAAUUAGUGUUUCCAAUUUCUCGUCUCCUCAAUUUUUUUUUGUUUCAGUUUAGGUUGCUUGAGCUUGCUAACUGUAUUCUUCAUUUUUUUUUGUGAGCGCGUACUGGUCAGGAUGAUGAAGAAGACUAUAAACAACCAAGCCAUGGAACUGAGCUACCUGCUUGAAAAAAUUGAUACAGUAAGUGCUAUUCUACAUUCAGAUUUAUUCUUAUUGAUUUGACUAUUGAGCUUGCUGCUUUGUUUUUUCACACUAUGAAGUUACUCUCCCGUUUACUAACGACAUUAGCUGUUCCUGCUCAGCCAUACCACCUAGUAGUAAAAGAAGACUUGUAGAAUAAACAUUUACAGAGAACAUAACUGAUACAAGGCAUCACUGUUCUGUUUUAAUAUUUGGACCUUCCACUGGUUAAGAAGACUGGGCGUUUUCAUUAACAAGUAGACAACAAUUAGUAUAGUGAUUGUUGUUGACUUGUUGACGCUUUCCCCUUUCUGUGAUAAUCUAUUGCUUUGAAUUCUCAAUUAUCCCCAACCAUAAAGUGAAGGGAAGGCCAAAGUGGUUAAGAUGAUCCUAAUUCCUAAGAACCAAAAGUCAUGCAAUUGACUUGAAAUAAAAUUUUCUAUUAAUUUUGUUUUACAAGAGGAUGCAACGUAUUGAUUCACACAAACUUAGGAUGUAUUUAAUUGGAUAUUCAUGAAUGAGCAUGGCUAAAGAGUAAGGUUCUGAAGUACCAAACAAUCUCCCCUUUGUCAUUCUUUGAGAAGUAUAAUUAUAACCACUUGCACUUAGACAUCUAUAUUAAUAAAACAUUCUUUAGCAUCCUUAAACCAACUAGCUGACAUGUACAUAAGAUGAAGGAUGGUAUUAUGUUUAUUUGUGGACCACUAUAAAAGAAGAAACAUACAAACUCCUUAAAGAUUGUACCCAGUUUUGAAAUAUACAAGCAGUGGAUCUACUUGAUGAACACUGAUUCAUUAAGUAUUUCCCUUUUGGUCAUGCACUAAGGAAUGAAUCACAAGAACAACACAUCCAUUUAACACAAACGAGGGGCUCUUAUUCUCUGGACGAUAUAAAUUAAAGGACACAGGGAGUUGCCUUGGGUAUAGCAAACCAACCCUCCCAAGAAGGUAACUAUGUCUAAUUAGAACAUUACUGACCAAAUGACAAUGUCGACUUAGGAUAGAAGGUGCCUCCCUUUAACACAAAAUAAUAUACUAUUAACAAAUAUGAGUUUCUAACUGAGUAGAGGUAAGCUUAUAUUUUAUAUCACCAAAUUGUGAACUCAUGAAAAGCUUAAAAUAUGCAUAUUCCGGAGUCAAACAAACAAAUGAUGUCCCACUUAUGAACAAGAUCAAGAUGAAUGCCCUAUUAUUAUUUUAUUUUUGGUGUAAAGAGGAAUUUACCGUCAAUACUGAAUCUAUCCUAGAGAUUUUAGAAUCCUUGUAAGUUGUAUAGGAUAUAUGACUAAAUGGAAAGUUAGCUCAAAAGAACGACUUUAAAUGUUGGCAUGAGUUUAGCAAGAAUAGAAAUUAACAGUCAUGAGAUAGAAUUCUGAUAGAAACUUUCGAAUUGAAUUUAACACGAAACUUACAUAUUACUGAAAUUACAUUAAAAAGGGAAAACAUUAUGUGAGCUGAUUGCUUCCCUGUUCUUAUUUACUGUAUUUUAGUGUCCAGGUUCAAAAGGAAAAUUCUGCCCCUGUUGCGGUCAAGGAAAAUUAUUGGGCGUGAAAGAUAAGAUGUGUAUUACACUAUUACAAACUUGUAAGUCACCACUGAUUCAAGAUAUGAUCAUGACAAAGCAGCCUAUAAUUUUUAAGGCUUUGAUUCAGCGGCAGAAGUCAUGGUUAACGGGCGAAAACCAUGAUCAAGACUAGCUUUCCACACUCUUUCAAUAUCAAACAUCAUAUUACCACACUCAUUCUCAUUCCAGCCUUCCAAUGCGUGCAAAAUCCCUGCUAUUCUUGAUGCACUCAUCACCCUUCUUGGUAGCCAGUUCUGGGGUUAUAAUAUUAGUCAUAAGUUUACUUUAAUUAUCCGAAAAGAUCAAACAAAAAAUUUAGGAAUUUAAAAUUAUCUUCUCUAACCUCACAAGAGUCUACAUUUUCAAGUUGUUUUGGGAUAGUCAUGGCUGGUGUGCUGAAGUAGAUGCAAUCCUUGCGAGCUUUCCUUGGUGGAAACUGUGAAAAAGGAAUAAACAAUGUUCCUUUUGGUGCUUUCAAUUGUUCAUCUUCACUCAAUCUGUCCCCUACUAGCCAUAUCUGCAAUACAAUACUUCAAUCAAGAACUAUUUUCUGCGAGACCGUGGGGUGAGGGAGAGGGAGAGGGAGAGGGAGAGGGAAGAGUUCUCUUUUUUUGUUUGAAUUUUUUGAAAUCUAAAAUGGUUCAGAGGUCAAUUAUGAAUUAGUCUGGAUUAGGAGAGAAGGGGGAGGGGAAUGGAGUUGUUAUAAAUUAUCAAGAUUCAGGAAAGUAUUAUCUGAUGUAUUAUGGUUUAUACCUUUGACGCAUUAGUCUUUGAAAGGACCAAAUUGGUAGCAACCUUGGGGGUAAGCCUUGCUUUAAGUCUCUUGAACUCUUCUCCGUCUAACAUGACAACCUAUAUGUUAAAAAAAUUCAAUGAAUGAAAGUCUGGGAAACCAAAAUCAUGGAGGAGAUUAAGUGCAAGAUACCUGAAUUCCUCUUUGGCACAAGACAAGGGCAAUGGAGCAAGAAACUUUGGACAAACGACCUCUAAGGACCACUUGGGAAGUUCCUUUAGGAAUGUUGUUUAGGACCACAGCAACAACUAGACUACUUCCAUCAACCACUUUCACUUUCAACUGCGGAUGCCUCCUUAUGUAAAGUUCACCGUUAUUAUUCAGCUCCUCUUCCUGUUAGAACGUUACAUUGUGUGACAUUGUAAGUAUCAACUGGAACCCUCUUUCGUCCAGCCAACAAACAUUGGAUAUAAGGUGUUGGGAGAAUUUUUUUUAAAUUCAUUUUCUCCCUAAUAGUGAAUAUCUGCCAUAGCUAACAGAAUGUUUUUCUCAGAAAAUUGCAUUUUAGGUAGAGAUCAUGCAUUUUUCUUAUAUAUAAAGUAAGGAUGAGAAUUAUUCGAUUUUCUAUUGUCUUUACUUACCUGAUUUAGGAGUCCAAGGCUCAAAACUUUUAUGCCUUUCAGAUCAGCUUCCAUGAUGGCUUCCUCAAUCAAAUUGUUAAUAGUAUCUCUUUGCCCUUGCAUAAAGUACUGAACAAAAUAAAAAAUUAGGUCAACUAGUCUUUAAUAAUGUAUCCAGAACAUACAAGUCAUGAUUAACAAUAAUUUCUUACUUGUUUCCUGUAUUUUGGGAUAGCCCAAGUUUGUAAUUUAAGAUUCCUGAAUAAAUUUCUCUCAACAACAAAUGUUUGACCAUAAAUCCAAGUAAUAAAAAACGACCAUAGGGUAACGGGCCACAUUAACCAAAAAUACCACUUGGAAGCGUGAGGCGUCGAGGCCAAGGAUGCAAACCCUAGUCGGAGAUGGUAGAUAGAUUCAGGGGUUGUUAGAUGUGUUAGGUGCACCACAUCAGGCAAUUCAGCUUUCCUCUCAAGUGACUUUUCAUACAAUGUAUCUGACGACUUGUCCACUGUACCAUACAGAUAGUCAUACAUUGGCAUGAAAAGUGAAUAAUUUGUUCUAAAUUGAGUGUGAUGUAGCGAGUGAUACCUGUGCCAUCAAAGAAUUGACAUUAGUUGUAAUAAAUAAAACAAAAUCAUCAGGGAUUACUAGUCUGCCUAGUCAGUAUGAAAAAAAUACAUUUGAAGGAAGACUUCUAUUUCCAUUUUCCCUUUUAUUUCCUGGUGAACUAAACUUGGAUACAAAAUUUCUGUUCACUGAGGCGUCUAACUUUGUACAGAAGUACCAAAAUUGCAUCUUUUUUGUCACUUCUAAUUAAACUGCUCUGCUACCUUCUAGAUAUGCAUGAAUAAAUACGUCUCGGGGUCCCUGAAUGUGAAGAAACAUUAAUGUUCUGGAAGUAAAAAAAUGAAAAAGUUAUUUGUGUAGAUUAUCUUUGUCGAUCCAGUUUCCAAAGAGAUCCAAAAGUGGGGGAUUGUGCAUUUGAGCCUUUUACUUUGCACUUUUCCUUCAAAUUAGUGUUUCCUGAUCAGUCAUCUCCAAACCAAACUUCCAAAACAACUUCCCUCUUCCUUUCUGUUUCUUUUUUUUUCUCCAUGGAUAUAAUAAUAUUUUGUGGCCAACGAACUUUAUCCACUGUAAAAGUAAGUCACCUUAUUUGGUAGGUUUUGUCAUUGGGUAAAGUUUAGUGACUUUACUAUUGUAGCGAGUAAAUUUCAACUACUUUAAUGUAACAAAAAAGUUAUGUGACUUUACUGUUAUAGUCGGUAAAGUUUAGUUACUUUACUGUUCUACCGGGUACAGUUAAGUUGCUUUAGCGCGACAAAACAAUUUCUAACUUUACCAUUAUAAUGAAUAAAGUACGUGAAAUUUAACCCUUAAAAGUUUCUAGUAAAUUUCUUUUACUUGUAACUGUUUCGAAUUAUAUUUGUUCACCCAAAUAAAUUCCGAUGAUAUUUCAAAUCCCUGUUAAAGAUAGCCAUUGCAAAUGAAAGUUGAACAUGAAAAGACACAGCAGGGUGAAAAAACACAUGGUGGGUGAAGUCUUGUCAAGGCAAAGACAAACAAACGUCUAAAGCAUAGUUGAUGCUAUAACUAUAAAAGUUUAAAUAUAGGGAAAACAGACUCACGAGGGCGUAUAUAUCAAGUACUUGAGAGGGGGAAACAUAGAGAACAUCCACUUAGGAAUGAGCUCAAAGUUGCAAUGCCCCAUGUUGUUCAUGAAAUCAACGUAAGUGAUGUACGCACCAAAUGCAGCUAUAGAAGCAGUUCCAGUGAAAAAAGUUGUGACCCCCGGUAUAAGAAAGAGCGUGUAAUAUGCUAUGAUCUCAGCAAACGGAUGAAUAACAGCUGCAACAAUAAAAAACUUUGCUUUGUAAUUAUUUGCAGAUAGGUCAUUGAUUGUCUUUGAAAUUAAACUGAAACCAAGUGACCUAUAAGCCAGCAGGCAGGUCUUUAAUAUGCAGAAAGCCAAUCUACAAAGUACUUAUAUUCUCAUCCAUCCCAUUUAAAUCAUAUAUAUGAGUGACAGCCAUUCUACAAGAUCUUUUUAACAUUAUCUACUGACUACUGUCGAUAUUAUUUUCUAGGUUACUAUGUCAGGCUUAAUAUAAGCUCCUUGUAAUAUCUGAUGUAUUUUCUCCAAGACUGAUUGUUCUUCCUCUAGAAAACUACAUCAAAUUAAACAUAUGAUACAAAACGUUUACGAAGACGACUUACAAGUGAUGGGCUCAGUAACAAUGGAGGAGUGAUGAUGGGAAUGAUAACGAGA